RNAcentral lists this ribosomal RNA (1003 nucleotides) under Neofusicoccum parvum. RNAcentral describes it as "SSU rRNA". It matches the Rfam family "Eukaryotic small subunit ribosomal RNA", at positions 87 to 1098 of the family's 1831-position model. Lineage: Eukaryota; Fungi; Ascomycota; Dothideomycetes; Botryosphaeriales; Botryosphaeriaceae. The record is from RNAcentral.
CUGCGAAUGGCUCAUUAAAUCAGUUAUCGUUUAUUUGAUAGUACCUUACUACUUGGAUAACCGUGGUAAUUCUAGAGCUAAUACAUGCUAAAAACCCCGACUUCGGAAGGGGUGUAUUUAUUAGAUAAAAAACCAAUGCCCUUCGGGGCUCCUUGGUGAUUCAUGAUAACUUAACGAAUCGCAUGGCCUUGCGCCGGCGAUGGUUCAUUCAAAUUUCUGCCCUAUCAACUUUCGAUGGUAGGAUAGUGGCCUACCAUGGUAUCAACGGGUAACGGGGAAUUAGGGUUCUAUUCCGGAGAGGGAGCCUGAGAAACGGCUACCACAUCCAAGGAAGGCAGCAGGCGCGCAAAUUACCCAAUCCCGACACGGGGAGGUAGUGACAAUAAAUACUGAUACAGGGCUCUUUUGGGUCUUGUAAUUGGAAUGAGUACAAUUUAAAUACCUUAACGAGGAACAAUUGGAGGGCAAGUCUGGUGCCAGCAGCCGCGGUAAUUCCAGCUCCAAUAGCGUAUAUUAAAGUUGUUGCAGUUAAAAAGCUCGUAGUUGAACCUUGGGCCUGGCUGGCCGGUCCGCCUCACCGCGUGUACUGGUCCGGCCGGGCCUUUCCUUCUGGGGAUCCUCAUGCCCUUCACUGGGUGUGCUGGGGAACCAGGACUUUUACUUUGAAAAAAUUAGAGUGUUCAAAGCAGGCCUUUGCUCGAAUACAUUAGCAUGGAAUAAUAGAAUAGGACGUGCGGUCCUAUUUUGUUGGUUUCUAGGACCGCCGUAAUGAUUAAUAGGGAUAGUCGGGGGCAUCAGUAUUCAAUUGUCAGAGGUGAAAUUCUUGGAUUUAUUGAAGACUAACUACUGCGAAAGCAUUUGCCAAGGAUGUUUUCAUUAAUCAGUGAACGAAAGUUAGGGGAUCGAAGACGAUCAGAUACCGUCGUAGUCUUAACCGUAAACUAUGCCGACUAGGGAUCGGGCGAUGUUAUUCUUUUGACUCGCUCGGCACCUUACGAGAAAU